GGGAGAUGAUGAUAUUCUACAUGCGUGUCAACUGACCCUUUGUGUCACAGGAAUGUGGUCAGUUCUUGACUGCAUUCCCUGUCCACGGGUGGAUGAUCAUAACUUAUAAUUCUGAUCCC
Octopus bimaculoides (California two-spot octopus) is the source of this 119-nucleotide non-coding RNA. Lineage: Eukaryota; Metazoa; Mollusca; Cephalopoda; Octopoda; Octopodidae. The record is from Rfam.